This 198-nucleotide ribosomal RNA is filed under the name uncultured bacterium. RNAcentral describes it as "partial 16S ribosomal RNA". It matches the Rfam family "Bacterial small subunit ribosomal RNA", at positions 328 to 539 of the family's 1533-position model. The record is from RNAcentral.
ACGCUCGACACCUACGGGAGGCAGCAGUGGGGAAUACUGCACAAUGGGGGAAACCCUGAUGCAGCGACGCCGCGUGAGUGAAGAAGUAUUUCGGUAUGUAAAGCUCUAUCAGCAGGGAAGAAAAUGACGGUACCUGAGUAAGAAGCCCCGGCUAACUACGUGCCAGUAGCCGCGGUAAUCUGAGCGGGCUGGCAAGGC